CAUCAAAGCCAAACAUGUGGACGAUACUGAAAGGCCUUUCGUUUCUAAAAACGAGUCAAUGUGUCGAUAAAUUAUUCGCGUCUGUGUUCAUCAACACGAUGAUAUGGACUGUGAUGUUGCUUAUCGCCGGUUGUCUCAUGUCUAACACUUUUCACAGAUUAUUUAACGAAAAGAAAAAUUUUUUCGAGAAUUUAUUUUGUGAUCUGGAGAAUGAAGCGGCAAAAAGUCGUCCGAAAUGUAUUUAUCUUUUUUCUUCUACGGUUAGUCAGUCACAUGGUCAAAUGGUUACCUUCUUACACCUUUAUAUCAAGUACAACCCUGAUUAAGUUUUUUUACUUUUUAAUUAUACACUAGUAUAUAUAGCUACUUAUCUUUAUAUUUCUAGGCUUACUGUUUUAUUGCAACCAUAACCUUGGCAUUGAAUGUUCUGUUCAACUAUCAAAUAUUCAAACCCACAACAUCUACAGUUGCAACUCCAGUAACAAUUACUAUGGCUACAAGCCCAGCAACAAUUGCUAACAACACGACACCAGCAACAUUUGCUGCGGAUAUGACACAUUUGAGAAGCAAAUGAGUCAAGAACAUACC
This is a long non-coding RNA of Xenia sp. Carnegie-2017, 588 nucleotides long. RefSeq lists it as uncharacterized. NCBI's taxonomy places the organism in Eukaryota, Metazoa, Cnidaria, Anthozoa, Malacalcyonacea, Xeniidae. The record is from RefSeq and is a predicted model, not a curated record. The transcript is spliced from 2 exons.